This 497-nucleotide ribosomal RNA is filed under the name uncultured bacterium. Its description in RNAcentral is "partial 16S ribosomal RNA". It matches the Rfam family "Bacterial small subunit ribosomal RNA", at positions 28 to 507 of the family's 1533-position model. The record is from RNAcentral.
GAUGAACGCUGGCGGCGUGCCUAAUACAUGCAAGUCGAGCGAACGGACGAGAAGCUUGCUUCUCUGAUGUUAGCGGCGGACGGGUGAGUAACACGUGGAUAACCUACCUAUAAGACUGGGAUAACUUCGGGAAACCGUAGCUAAUACCGGAUAAUAUUUUGAACCGCAUGGUUCAAAAGUGAAAGACGGUCUUGCUGUCACUUAUAGAUGGAUCCGCGCUGCAUUAGCUGGUUGGUAAGGUAACGGCUUACCAAGGCAACGAUGCAUAGCCGACCUGAGAGGGUGAUCGGCCACACUGGAACUGAGACACGGUCCAGACUCCUACGGGAGGCAGCAGUAGGGAAUCUUCCGCAAUGGGCGAAAGCCUGACGGAGCAACGCCGCGUGAGUGAUGAAGGUCUUCGGAUCGUAAAACUCUGUUAUUAGGGAAGAACAUAUGUGUAAGUAACUGUGCACAUCUUGACGGUACCUAAUCAGAAAGCCACGGCUAACUACGUG